GAUCCUGGCUCAGGAUGAACGCUGGCGGCGUGCUUAACACAUGCAAGUCGAGCGAAGCACUUAACUUUGAUUCUUUCGGGAUGAAGAGUUCUGUGACUGAGCGGGCGGACGGGUGAGGUAACCGCGUGGGUAACCUGCCUCAUACAGGGGGAUAACAGUUAGAAAUGGCUGCUAAUACCGCAUAAGACCACAGCACCGCAUGGUGCAGGGGUAAAAACUCCGGUGGUAUGAGAUGGACCCG
Molecule: ribosomal RNA, 241 nt
Filed under: uncultured bacterium
Lineage: Bacteria
Description: partial 16S ribosomal RNA
Rfam family: Bacterial small subunit ribosomal RNA
Source: RNAcentral